RNAcentral lists this ribosomal RNA (460 nucleotides) under uncultured bacterium. RNAcentral's name for it is "partial 16S ribosomal RNA". It matches the Rfam family "Bacterial small subunit ribosomal RNA", at positions 338 to 795 of the family's 1533-position model. The record is from RNAcentral.
CCUACGGGAGGCAGCAGUGAGGAAUAUUGGUCAAUGGGCGGGAGCCUGAACCAGCCAAGUCGCGUGAGGGAAGACGGUCCUACGGAUUGUAAACCUCUUUUGCCGGGGAGCAAGGGUGUGCUCGUGAGCGCGCGACGAGAGUACCCGGAGAAAAAGCAUCGGCUAACUCCGUGCCAGCAGCCGCGGUAAUACGGAGGAUGCGAGCGUUAUCCGGAUUUAUUGGGUUUAAAGGGUGCGUAGGCGGGCUGCUAAGUCAGCGGUCAAAAUUCGGGGCUCAACCCCGUCGAGCCGUUGAAACUGGCGGUCUUGAGUGGGCGAGAAGUAUGCGGAAUGCGUGGUGUAGCGGUGAAAUGCAUAGAUAUCACGCAGAACUCCGAUUGCGAAGGCAGCAUACCGGCGCCCUACUGACGCUGAGGCACGAAAGCGUGGGUAUCGAACAGGAUUAGAUACCCUUGUAGUC